This 74-nucleotide transfer RNA is filed under the name Aridibacter sp. Its description in RNAcentral is "tRNA-Pro". It matches the Rfam family "tRNA". From Rfam's summary of the family: Transfer RNA (tRNA) molecules are approximately 80 nucleotides in length. Their secondary structure includes four short double-helical elements and three loops (D, anti-codon, and T loops). Lineage: Bacteria; Pseudomonadati; Acidobacteriota; Blastocatellia; Blastocatellales; Blastocatellaceae. RNAcentral also lists the same sequence under 1 other name. The record is from RNAcentral.
CGGGACGUGGUGCAGCCCGGUAGCACACUCCCUUGGGGUGGGAGAGGUCGUGAGUUCAAAUCUCGCCGUCCCGA